Non-coding RNA from Sturnus vulgaris (Common starling), 2666 nucleotides. Lineage: Eukaryota; Metazoa; Chordata; Aves; Passeriformes; Sturnidae. The record is from RefSeq and is a predicted model, not a curated record.
GGCGCGGUAAGUGCGGGCCGCUUCAAACCCGGCGGCUUUCCGGCCCUGCGAAUCCCGCUGCUGGUUCUAAAAGUCAGCGGGGUUCGUCAAAUCCAUGGCAGUGAUCCGCCGCGCGUUGGAUCCCUUUGGACGCACUGCGGUCUGGGCUGUGCCUGCAAGGGGGCGGCCGGAGGUGUCUGUUUCCAGUGGGUGCCUGCCUUCUCGUCCCCUUCUCAUAGAGAGAGAGGGCCAGAAAAGGUGGUGGUACAGUUUGGGAAAAGUGCUCCGUCAAAACAGUAUGGAAAGUGAAGAUGAUUGAUGGAUGGAAUUCACAGUUCCUCCCAGGAACUGUUAUCGCUCCUGAAAGAUGCUCACACUUGUGAGAGCAGGAACUGUCUGAGUGUACCUGUAAGACCAAGGAGGCUGGACCUCCUCCGUCAUGUCUGGCAGCAGUCGGGUGGCACUCGCAUUGCCCAAGAGCCCAUCAGUGACAGCUAGCACCAUCUCCAGCCUGCUGGAGGGACUAGGAUCUAACUUACCACACUGGAAGAGCAUGUUACAGAAGCAAGGUUUCGUUAACUUCACUGCUUGCAGGCCAGUUUGGGUUUGCUGGGGGUUUUUGUUUUGUUCUUGAGCAAAUCUGAGCCCUCGUUUUGGAAGGUAUGGUGAGCUUGCUUUAGUUUUGUAGUGGUGAAACCUUGUGUGAGCUCUGAGUGAGCUGAUUUUUAUGUCUGUGUCUAGCCUCACUGAAGUCAGGGGUGCUCUGUGCCAAGAUAAGAUAGCAGCUCUCCACAGACUUCACUGUAAGGCAGAGUCAAAAUCUGCAGUGAUGAAUUACAGUCAUCAUUACACAUCUGCAUUGGCUGGGGCUAGCCAUUCCCUACAGGCAGGGAUUCAUUCCUGUGUGCCAUCCUGGGCUCAGCACCCUAAGAUGGUAGAUUAGGCUGAUCUGUUCAGUGUAGCAAGUGUGAUGGUCAUCAGUAUUGCUAUGCUUUAGUUCUGGUACCUGGUUUUGGGAGGACAAUUCACAAAGCUGAGGUAAGCUCUAGGAAAUUCUUGGCAAAACCGAGACUUUAGCACUUGGAUUCCCAGCAGCUAAGCAUGCUGAGUGGGGAGAUUUUAAACUAGAUGAUGGGAAAUGUUCUUUGGGCAACUCGUUUCUGAUCAGUUUUAAUUGCUUAUAGCUUUCACUUAAGCAUACUUAGAGUCAAAGUGCCAAAAUCUGAAGCAGACUCUUGUACAUCCUGUGAUGCAUAGCAAUGAAAGCAGACUCUGGAAGCUGGCUCUGUUAGCUCCCCAACUCUGCCCAACCCCACACUGCCUUUCUCCCUCUGACACCUGUGCUGGGCCAUUUCAGCUCACUGCAUUUGUAGAAAGUGAACCCAGAUUAUAAAUACAAAUUGUUUUAUAAUUCCUAGCUUCCAAGGGGCUCAGCCAUGAAACAGGAGCAGAGUUAACACCAUCUUCAACUUAAAACAGUUUAACUCCCCACCUAUUGAUUCCCAAGAGACUGUUUUGUGUUGUGAGGGAAAACAAAUGAGAUUACAUUCCAGCAGAAAGAGAUUCAAUUAAUGUGUUUUACCUUGCAACUAGAGAGGACAACCAGUGUGAAUACAAUUACUGUGGCUCCACCAAUAGAUACUCAUUAAAUUGCUGUACCUGCCACUUUCAAUUGUGCGAUCCAGUCCCCAGAGUUUGGGUUCUUCUGUUUUUUAACAGUUUGAAAGAGAUGGAGACAAUAGGAGUAGACAUACCAAAGUCUUCUCUCAGUCAUAAUUUAAUUUUCUAACCAGAAAGGCACAUUAAGGUGGCUUCAGUCCCAUGGGUUUAUUUCAAAAUUUGAUAGGUCUGCAGAUCCCCACAGCUUUCUCAUUAUUGAUCCUUCCUAACAUUGCAGGUUAACUGUUGAAGGAAGGGGAUCACUUGUUGAGAGGAAGGAAGGAUGAUUUUUUAACUACUUUAUGCAUUCGGAUGGCCAUCCCUGUCAUGUAUUAAGGUCAUUGUGUUUAAUUGAAGAUGGUGGUUAAAUUAAAAAAGAGUAAUUGCUCCUGGCCCCUCUUUUUAUUAAUAGUGAAAACUUUGAUCAAACCGUUCCCCAAAGUGCCAGGAAAUCAAAGUGAAAAUAGUAUGAAUUAGCUUGUGACCUGAAUUUUACUGUUUUCAGUGGUUUUGGUGCACUUUUGCUGAUGUAUUAUGACAUUUCACAACAAAGUUUUCCUUGCUUCCCAUAAAGAAAAUGAGAAACCUUGAUGGCGCUAUUAAUUUUAAUUAAAACUUCCACUGCAUAUUUAAGUUUUGUAAGAAAUGCUCAUCACUAAUAAAGUUAAGUUAAAUAGCUGUUGUUUAGAUGUAGUUUCAAAACAGGGGAAGUCAGUUUCAAGAUAUAAAAAACACAGCAAAACAAACUAAAAACAGGUAAUUUAUUAUUCUAUUUGACUCUUUCAUUCUUUCUCCUUAUGAUGUUUAAAAAUAAAUCAAUUCAAUCACCAGACUUAAGAGAAAGUUAAGACAAUGAUAGUUUGUUUUUAUUAAGAUAGGAAACUUUUGCAGUAUCUGUCACAAGUCAGCCUUUUUUUCUGAGUCAGACUUAAUAAUUCUUUAUAAUAAUCAGUGUAUAAGCAUGAGGGACAUAUAUUUCAUAAGCAUUAGAUUUGUAAACAUCAAUAAAUAUUACAGUUACAAUACUA